Molecule: long non-coding RNA, 1274 nt
Organism: Raphanus sativus (radish)
Lineage: Eukaryota; Viridiplantae; Streptophyta; Magnoliopsida; Brassicales; Brassicaceae
Exons: 3
Source: RefSeq, a predicted model, not a curated record
UGUACACAAAUUAGACCCACGUGGUCUUUUUCUUGAAGACUCCGGCCGCCUUAAACGAUCACCGUCGAAGCUCUGUUUCUUUUCAUCUUACCGGCCACCAAAACUGGAGAUGUUACGGAAUGAGGAUCAAUCGAAACGACGUCUUAAACGCUGUCAUUAACAAUAGCUCCACCAUUACUUCCUUUCUGUGAAUCAUGGAGAAUCCUCAGCUAUAAAAAGGAGUCAAAAGAGAACUGACCUACGUGAAGAAGCUUCGGCAAUAUAUUGUCUACAGGAGAUGACAAUAAUCUGUACAUGAAGCUAAGCGUUAGAAUCACAACCCAAAUACCCAAAACCGAAUCAGUAGGACAUUUUGUACAAACUUAACCAAAAAGUCGAACAUAUUUUACAAAAUGACAUUGGAAAAUAUUAAGGAGAACUUAUAGUCGGCUUUCUUAAAUUCACCAGUAUACAUUGAUUGGUGGUGCAAAAUGGUUCAUUUUUUUUGUCGUCAAAUGGUUCAUAUCUUGGUCUUAUAGCAAAUGAGUAACAGAGUAAGUUAUAAUUUUUUAAGCAAAUUACACUUUUCGACUCUUAUACCCAAUAAUGAGGGUCUCGCUAUUAUAACUCUGAUCACCAUGUUUAACAUGAGAUUGAGUGUUUCGAGUUGUUCUUAUUAUACUUUGUCUAAACAUUAAUCAUUCAUCGCCAUUUACAUAAAAUAUCAAAACACAUACGACCCCACAAUAAACGACAUAUACAUACUUUUACAUUUUAAUAUUUAAUCAGUAACGUAACAAACGAUAGCAAAGGCUUUAGUUUUCAGGUUAUAAUUACGUAGCGGUUUCUACCUUGCCUCUUCGCCUCUUAACCCUUCUCUUGCCUUUUAGACUAUAUAAAAACUCUCGGCCUCACUUGAGAACAUAUUCAUCUGCACGCACCUAGGUGAAGCAUAGUUUGCUAUUUGACGUACCAACACCCAAUUCCAUGGUGAAGAAGCCUCCUUGGACCAACCGGCUUGAAAGCAUACUCAAGUAAAAGAAACACUAUACAAAACUAAAAUAAAUCAUCUACAAUCACCGGAAAUAAUUAUAACACACAACGCAAUCAAACAAACAUGGCAAUACUAUAAAAUAAAGUACACUAAAUAUUAUACCAACUUUACAUAAAAACAUGUGAAAGCCAAAUCAAUAGGAAAAAAAUAAUUAACAACAGUAACAAAAUAUGAGUUACUCUUACUUUAUAUUUUCUUCAAUGUCGAAUUGAAAAAGAAAUCAAAUAGGAAAAAAUUAAAU